AGGCAUGUAGCUCAGUUGGUUAGAGCACCACCUUGACAUGGUGGGGGUCGUUGGUUCGAAUCCGAUCAUGCCUACCA
This 77-nucleotide transfer RNA is filed under the name Neisseria sp. Its description in RNAcentral is "tRNA-Val". It matches the Rfam family "tRNA". Rfam says of the family: Transfer RNA (tRNA) molecules are approximately 80 nucleotides in length. Their secondary structure includes four short double-helical elements and three loops (D, anti-codon, and T loops). Further hydrogen bonds mediate the characteristic L-shaped molecular structure. tRNAs have two regions of fundamental functional importance: the anti-codon, which is responsible for specific mRNA codon recognition, and the 3' end, to which the tRNAs corresponding amino acid is attached (by aminoacyl-tRNA synthetases). tRNAs cope with the degeneracy of the genetic code in two manners: having more than one tRNA (with a specific anti-codon) for a particular amino acid; and 'wobble' base-pairing, i.e. permitting non-standard base-pairing at the 3rd anti-codon position. RNAcentral also lists the same sequence under 2 other names. Lineage: Bacteria; Pseudomonadati; Pseudomonadota; Betaproteobacteria; Neisseriales; Neisseriaceae. The record is from RNAcentral.